UGUUUGUAAAAAUGACAUUUAUAAAAUCUGAACUACACAUGCAGACCUGGAGGGCCGGUAUCCAGCACGUUUUAGUUUUAUCUGUUUCAACACACCUGAUUUCAAUCAGCAGCUGAUUAACAGGCGUUGCCAGGAGGCACAGAGUGGCAUGGCCAAGUGUGGGGAAUUUUCAUCUUGGGAGGGGGGGAGUGGGAGGAGACUACCAAUGAUGUGAAAUUGUACCAGCUCCAGCCAGUCACACAUUUAUAAUGCAGUAGCCACAGUUCAACCCACAGGGGGCAGCACUAAGACAUUUUAGACCUAGAUUCUAGAUUGAAUCAAGUUUACACAAACAUGUCAAAAAAUGCACAGAAACAGAAAGAUUACAUUUGUAAAGACCCAGUUAUACAGUUAAUUAGCAAAAAAAGUUAUUUUGGGGUUUAUUUACUCUUUAAAUGAUCAUAAUGGUUCAUAUACAGUUUGACUCAAGUCUUUAGGUUUGAGCCAUGAGGAUCUCUUCCCUCCCAGCAACCAGGUUUGUAAGUCCAUUAAACUAGCCUAGGUCAGGAGUUCUGGACGGAAUCAGAAGAAUGAAACAGUCUGGAUCAGCAGUUCUCCAGACUUUCUGAAGUUUGGACAUUGGCUGUUUUUUCACCAGGUUUCUCUGGUUCAUUCAAGAAGAACAAGGCUUCAAACUCAAGGAACAAAACCAGUAAUGAUGGACCUCUGGGCUGAUUCCUACCACCAGCAUGUCAUUGAAACGUGGUCUGGUCCAGUUCGUCAUUGAAUCUAGAAGAUGGACUACCCGAGAACAACGUCAGAACAUUAUAUCAGACACCAACAAGUCCCAGUCCGUUCUAGUUCAGCUGCUUCCAGGUCAUCUCCUGGACUCAGUCUCAUCUUCCUGGGGGUUCUGCUGUGGUGGACUUCAGGCUCGGUCGGUGCACCCUGAACGCCUCACCAUGGGUUCGGGUAUUUAACAUUCUGCCCCGGACCGCCGGCGCUUGUUGCGCAUGCGCAGCCCAUUCAGUCUGCAUGAAUACGGAGCGGAGAGGACAGCUCUGGGACUGGACGGACCGGACAUGGAUGGACAGAACGGCAGCGGGAUCAUGUGUUCAGGGACGCAGGACAGAAAGCAGAACGCACACUCGGACCGGGUGACCCUGAAGAAGGAGAUCGGUCUGUUGAGCGCGUGCACCAUCAUCAUAGGGAACAUCAUUGGCUCUGGGAUCUUCAUUUCUCCUAAAGGGGUCCUGGAGCACUCGGGCUCUGUGGGCCUGGCCUUGGUGGUGUGGGUUCUGGGAGGCUGCGUUGCUGUACUGGGCUCACUGUGCUAUGCUGAACUGGGUGUCACAAUUCCUAAAUCUGGAGGAGAUUACUCAUAUGUGACAGAGAUAUUUGGUGGUCUGACUGGUCUCCCCUCCAGGUUUCUCCUUUUGUGGAGUGCUGUCCUCAUCAUGUAUCCAACCACACUGGCUGUCAUCGCCCUCACCUUCUCCAGCUACGUCCUGCAGCCUGUCUUUCCAAACUGUGCUCCCCCUUACAUGGCUACUCGGCUUUUGUCUGCCACUUGCCUCUUACUCCUGACAUGGGUGAACUGCUCCAGUGUCCGAAUGGCCACAAGGAUCCAGGAUGUGUUCACAGUGGGGAAGCUUUUGGCUUUGGGACUCAUCAUUGUAGUUGGUCUGGUCCAGAUCUUCAACGGGAACUUUGAGGCUUUGACUCCUCAUGUGGCCUUUUCCCAGAACAGGACACCGUCAGUUGGACAGAUUGCUUUGGCUUUCCUGCAGGCAUCCUUUGCCUUCAGUGGCUGGAACUUCCUUAACUACGUCACAGAGGAGGUGGUUGAACCUAGACGGAACCUUCCUCGAGCCAUCUACAUCUCCAUUCCACUGGUGACCUUUGUGUACACACUCACCAACAUCGCUUACUUCUCCUCCAUGUUGCCCGAGGAGCUGCUGUCGUCCAAUGCUGUGGCUGUAACGUUUGGUGAGAAGCUGCUGGGAGCUUUUUCAAUCAUUAUGCCGAUCUCGGUGGCCCUUUCCACCUUUGGAGGAAUAAACGGUUACCUGUUCACCUCAUCCAGGUUGUGUUUCUCUGGAGCCAGAGAGGGCCACCUGCCCAGCCUGCUGGCCAUGAUUCACUUUAAAAACUGCACUCCCAUCCCAGCCCUGCUGGUCUGUUGUACUGCCACCCUUUUUAUAUUGUGCAUUGGAGAAACACACAACCUGAUCAACUAUGUCUCCUUCAUCAACUAUCUGUCUUAUGGUGUCACCAUUACUGGACUGCUCUACUAUCGCAGGAGAAAACCCAACAUUUACCGGCCAAUCAAGGUGAACCUCCUGGUUCCUGUCUCUUACCUGCUGUUCUGGGCCUUGCUCUUGGGAUUCAGUCUUUACUCGGAGCCGGUAGUUUGUGGUGUUGGUCUAGUGAUCAUGCUCACUGGUGUACCCGUCUACUUUCUAGGUGUUUAUUGGAAAGAAAAACCAAAGUGUAUUUAUGAUUUCAUAGCAUGUGCUACAUCUGUGGGCCAGAAGCUGUGUUAUGUUGUCUUCCCCCAGAUUGACCCAACUGAGAUUGAUCAUCCUUCAGAAUGGACUGACCAGUCAUCAGGCAGGAGCAGUUUCUUUGCCAACUUGUAAAACUCUUUUCUGUAUGUGUGAAAAUAUGUGUUCUGAUCUUUUGUUCCAUUGUUACUUUGUCAUUAUGCAAGUUCAGGCUUUCUGUCCUGCCAGAGAAGCCUCCUGUGUGAUGUUUAAACCAUGGAAAGAGUCAUUUUGCCUUACAGUCAAGUAGAAGUACCUAAUAGAAGUACACUCUAUGAAAAGGAUUUUUAUUCCCCUUUGGGGCGUGUCUGUUCCUCCUUUGUAAAAUUACUGAACUGUGACUGACAGUAAUUACUCCUUUUACCGCAGCAUUUUUGUGUCCUUAAUAACAAAUAGUUUACAUAUGGAGCUAAUGUGUUUUGGAAAAUUAACAAAUGUUUGAGGCAGCCUUUCUACUGGGUUUUUCAUCAUCUGCCCCACUGUUGGAUCUUUUUAGCAACUCUUUAUGUCGACCUGGUAAAUGUCAAAUGGGGUUCCUCAUGUAGAGAAUAAUCUUGGAUCAAACCACCAACCAUCCAGUCAGCAGACAAUAUACCUACCCACUGAUCCACAGUCACCUCUUUAGUCUGUUUCUAUGUUAUUGAUAGCUUGACAGCGGGUCUAGCCCUGCAGCAUAUAUAACUGUACUGAUCCUGGUUUAACCGACUUUAGUACGCAACGUGACUUUAACUGCCCAGAGAUAGUGUAGAAGCCUUUUCCUACAAAGUGCUUGUUUAAAAACUUUCUUUCCCAUCUCCUGAGACAUCCCACUUGUGUUUGUGACCAAGUCCUCGCAUAAACAGCUCUGCUUCUUGCCUUUCCCAUAAAGUAGUAGAGCUCCCGUGAAAGCUCACACACAUAAACUCAUUAUGAAAAGCACAAAAAUCCAGAAAGAAACACAAAAAAAGUCAAAUUAAAUGAGUUUCAUUUUUUUCCAGAAAUACCAACAGUCUCAGGGAGAGUUUCAACUGAGUUGAAGAGGCUAUGAAACAGAUGUUUUUGUAUCAGAUGUUCUACAUGUUGUCAUAUUUUGAUUUUGGCUUUUUCAGGACUGACAAUAUGUGUUGAGUAAAUUUAAGUGCUAGCCUAUUUCCUUACUGGAGCAGACUUCUGCAUGUCUUUUCCACAAGUUUUAGUAAAAAUGCCAGCUGUUGGGUCACUGCACAAUUUUCAGCUACAUGCAGCAGAAAUAGCUGCAGUGUUAUUGUCAUUAAUGAAUAUAUAAAUGAGUCAUUCACCAGUGCAUCACAUCUGGCAUACAUGUCAUUAAAACAGAGACGUGUUUUUUACUGACAGUUUAUAAAUGUGUCAUCCAGAACUAGUAAAUAAUCCUGUAGUUAAAGAUAGAUUAGGUGUCAGUCAAAACAUGAUGAUGAUAACCGGUACAGUAUGUUAAGGUAGUCAUGAUUGCUCAUGUAAAAAAGAUGAGAAAUAACUAACUUAUUAAAGAAAGAAUACUUUAUACUGUUUGGAAGGCAUGACAGAAAUUAUACAAAAGGAUGAAUAUAAAAGUUGCUAUUAAAAAUGUUAAAAAUAUGUGUCUUAUUAACAAAUUUGCAAGAUCUCCAUUUAGUUUGCAUUCAUUUGAAAAGCACCUUAGCUGUCCUUUCCUUGCUGCCUUCAUUCAUUGCUGUAAAUAAAACAAAUAGUAUAAAAAUGCUGUACUGACAUGAUUGAUGUAAAAUAUUUAUACCUACCUGCUCAGAUGGGUUUGAUAGUUGCAUCCUAGAUAUAGUUAUUAUUAUUGUUAUUAAGGGACCUGCUGCUGCAGCAAGCAGGGCCCUUGUUGUUAUGCACCUGGAGGGGGUUUGACAUUAAUCGCCUUUAUUCUUCUUCAUCAAUGCAGCUCGAACGGCUUCGUGCACCCCCACAAAUUAUAUAUCAAAUCAAGUAGCUCAACCGUGGGAGGUGUGCUAUUACUUUUCUAAGCGAUCUGAUUUACCACGACAAAAUAAUUAGCAAAAAACUUCUAAACUGUAAUCCUUUUAGGGCAGAUUGAACUAUCCUUUCAAAUUUUGAGUGUGUGGCAUUUUUUACAUUUGCAUAAAAACUGUCUUGUGCCAGGUGACAGGUCCCUUUUUUAAAUUAAUUCAGGUAUUUUCUAGUUAUUAUUAGUUCUAGUAGUAUUGUUGUAGUAAUAAUAGUAGUAGUUGUAGUUGUUGUAGUUGUUCAAUCAAUCAAUCUUUCCAUCAGUCAACUUUAUUUGUAAAGUGCCUUUGCAUUGCUCAAGGACCAAACCAACAACAAAAAGUGACACAACAUGACAUAAAAAAGUAAAAGCAUUUAAAAGAUCAGACAAAAACUUGUAGUUGAAAUCUGGGUGGGAACACACAAGAAUUCAACAACCCCCCAUUAGUGAGACUCCUCGUCAGUAAAAUCCAUUGAAUAGAAGUGUGUUUUCAGACAGCUCUUAAAGUUGGGGGCCUGCUUGAUGACUACAGGCAGCUCAUUCCAGAGUUCGGUCAGUAUUGAGAGGGCAUGACCCCCUCGUGGGUCUGUACUUGGGUAUGGCACAGUCCCUGCUCCUCCGACCAAAAGGGCCUUGAUGGAAUGUAAAGAUGAAUCAGAUCUGAUAUAUAACGUAGAGCCGACUCAUUUAAACAUUUAAAAACAAACACCAGAACUUUAAAUGAAAUUCUAAAAGAGACCGGAAGCCAGUGUAGGGAUGCUAAGAUAGAUGUGAUGUGCUCAGACCUCCUGGUACCGGUCAAUAACCUGGCCGCCUCAUUCUGCAACAUCUGAAGUUUCGCUAUGGAGGCUUGCUUGAUGCCCGAGUAAAGAGAGUUGCAGUAGUCCAGCCUGGUGGUAAUGAAGGCGUGGAUGACAGUUUUUAAACGUUUGUAUGAAAGAAAUGGCUUAAUUCUAGCUAUUCCCCUGAGAUGGAAGCAAGUAGCAGGAUGUGAUUGUUCUGGCUUUCCAGUCUGAUCUCCACAUCCAACUUCACCUCAAGAUUGGUAAACACCACAUUCUCAAAAGGUUACUAAAAAUAUAAUGUCAAUAAUAACAUUAAGAGAGCAAUGGGCGAGCUAUGUCGUAAUGACACAAAUAUGACAUGGCCGGAAUUGACGUAGCAGGGGUCCACCAUUUUGGAUGGGUCUCCACUCGCCCUCAGUGCAUUUAUUUCUAUUGAGGAAGGUAUUUACCCAACUUGAAAAAAACAUUUUACUAUGCUUGUUCACAAAAUCAGACAUAUGAUAUGGCUUGAUAAUUAAAAUAUAAAUUUAAUAAAAGAAAUAAAUAAAAUUAAUUUUAAAAUUCCAACAGGUAGGCUAGAAAAGCCUCAGAAAAUGUCCUACAUGAUCUGUUUUCAACAGUGCACCAGUUGUUGCGUAGCCUGCACAAAAAAACGGUCAUAAUUGCCCACCCUGCGUGGACUCCAUUUGCUACAGGCAUCUACCCAAUAUGGUGGCGAAGCUUUUACAUCUCCAGUGCACUGCUCACUGACGUCUGCGGGUUUGCACGUGCACCAACAUCCCCGGUGUGCCAAAUCACAGAAGCAGAGAGACAAUGUAUAUAGAGCUAGGAUUGGGACAUUAUUCAGCGUAACUUGUACCAAGUUUUGUAACUUCGAACGUUUCAUCACAUGUAACUUUGGAUUCGUAACUUGUAACUUUAGUUUUCUAACUUGUAAUUCCAGUGUUAGGAAUCUUUUUUUCUCAAUUCUAGCGUCAGUGGGAGGAACUUGGGUGGAACCAAUGAGAGCAUGAGUCUUAGCUACCAAUCACGUUUCUCGAAUUCCUGUCCAAUCAUUGGGAGAGGAGGGCAGGGUUCUGUCAGAGCUGUAAAGAGUUACGACCAUCGACAUAUAUACGACACUCCAAUAGACUCCUAUGGAAAGAAUGGAAUGUGGGAGUCACGUGGUUCAUGUAGCUUCGAAUAGUUCCAAACAGCCCCGCUGCUGCAUUGACCGUAGUUCAUUUUCGGUGUUUCUGAAGAAUUUCUACAGUAAGUUGAUGAAAUGUCAUCAUUUUGUUGCAUUGUGAAGCGUUAGCUAACCGCUUCGUACCAAAAUAAGCCGAUGAUGAUAUUUUAUGUUGCCAGUUUUAGCUAGAUAACCUUUAAUGAGCUAACUGUGUGCAGUUUGUUGGUUGUGAGCAGGAGGACGAGCUGUAGACGGGUUCAUUUCAGUUUGUUUGAUUCUACGUUUUAAAAACAUUCCCCACAGUUUGAAAUAGGUUAUAAACUUUUUACAUUAUUAGUUUAAUUUGGGAUUUUUUGUACAAUACGUUGCUGGUUGCUGUAUCAACACGAACAUGCAUCAGAAAUGGAAGCACAAAUGGAGAGACCAAUAAUAAAGAAAAUGUGAUUGUGAAGACAAGUAAUUAUUUAAUAUUUUUCAGUUAAUAACACCGACUGCAACAAACUGCUGAAGCAUGAGACAAACAGGAUUACGAACGUAAGAAGAUAUGUUGUUCUGUUUUGUGGACUCAAGUAAUAAGAAUAAAAUUACGAUAUUUCAAGAAUAGUAGUCGAACAAUAACUUUAAAAAAUGAGACAUUUUCCAUAAAACUGCUCAUUUCCACUUGCUUUAUAAUAUUAGCAUUUGCAAUUUUGUUAUUAAGGAAUGACAAGAAAUAAGAAUUAACAAUAACAUAAUCAUCAAUAAAAAGAGUAACCAUUAAAGGUUAAACUGUGUUGUGUGUCCAUCUUCAUGUUUUCAUAGUGGCUGAGCGGAGAGCUGACCAGGAACAACGGUGGUGGCAAAACCCAGUUGGGUCUGUGAUGGAGUGAUGCACGCCUGGAGUGAUUGCCAUCUCAUCCACAGGUUCUAACAUCAGGCAGAGGGAUACUCAUGUCCUGAAGAAACCUGUAGCCUGUUGAACCCACUGAAAAACAGAGCUGUUUUCCAGCUGGGUUCCCUGGUUGCAUAGCCUGUUCCUUUCUCCUCCUGGCCCUGACGCCGCCUCCUCAUGGCUUCCUGGGAUGCCCCCCUCACUUUCCCUCAUCUCAUUUGCCUCACUACUGCUGCUGCUUUCCUCAUUCUCUGAAAUUAUAAUGGCACUGUUAGAAUAAAGAAUCAGUUAAAAAUAAAAUAAUUUCAAAUGUCUAAUAUUUCAAAAGAUUUGUACCACAGUUUACUUGAGUACAAUAUGUGUGGUCACUGGUCAGUGGACCAACAUGCAGUGGUUCUGCUGUACUUCUCACUACGGGGUCCUUCCUCCUCCUUGGUUCAGGGCAAUGAACAAACACAGCAUCAGCCCUGAGUCUCACCUUGCCUAGUCUUAGUAAACUGUCCCUCCUCAAAAUGUGCCUGUAGAGUGGUGUAUUACUGUAGUUUAUUUCCUGCCACAUUUAACAGUUUAAUUGCAGCCUUGUGUAGUUGAGAGCAGAACAUGUAGAGCCUUGAUAGGAAACGUUUGAGAGUGCACAUUAAACUCACUGCACACAGCUUUUUGUUAUUGUGAUCGCUGGUCAUGGUGAGGUUGCUCCUGCUGACUUGAGCCAACCAUUUUCUUCUUCUCUCUGCAUCUUUGGGGAAGCCGUAGUUCUGAUUCCUCCCUCAGACUGAUUGCAAUAUGCAGCGCAGCCAACCAUGUAAGAUAUUCAACCUAUAAAGGGAUUAUUAAAAUACUAUUUUUGUACAUAUAGAAACAUUGAACUAAACCAAAAAUAAAGUUAUUCAAAAGGGUUUCAUUAGGUCUUGAGUACAUUGCUCAAAUUUAUUGAUACAGCUUAUUUGUGCAUAUGUAAUGACUAAACAAUGUUGGUAAAAUGCUUUAUUAAAAAUGCUAUUAUACAUGUUGUACAAGUUUGGUGUUCAUUUUUUCACAAAUAACACACUUUAUUGUGAUGAACCAUACAGCUGAAAAUUUCUUUUAAAUUAGUUGCUGUAGAAGCCAGAUAAACUGGGUUAUAGAUGCAUGUACUGUCUUCACAUAAAAAUAUAAAGUAAUGAUUGUAAAAUGUAUUCUACUGAACAUAAUAGAUCAUCAUUCAAAGUAUAAACAGAUACAUAUUUUCUUCAAGGUAAGCUGGAGCAGAGUUCUAGCUUUCAAUAAACACUUUAAAAUGGAUAUUACAACUCGAGUUUAUGGUUCUUGUAGAACUUAAAGUUAUUAAAUAUGCUUAUAGGGCAGUGUGUUGCAUUACUACAUCAAAUUUAUUGCUAUAAUAUAGUAAUGUAUGUGGUCUAAAUGUGUUCUACAGUGUAUUAGGACUGUUGUGUUCAAGAACAGUCACGGGUGUUUGUCUUCCUACAAGUGCUCGUAAAAAUAUAAAUAGGCUACUUUGUGAAGGAGUUAGGACAUAAUAUAAUAUAAUAUAUAAUAUUAUUCAAUAAUUACCACAAAUUGCCAGGGGAAAUGUGAUUAUAUUAAAUUUUUGUGAUUUGUCCCACCAUACGCCGUUCAAACUGACUUACGGCACUGUGGGAUGUUUGGAACUGAGAGCUCCAUGAACCACGUGACCGCGAGUCGGCGAGUUCAAAGACUGUUGUAACUCUCUCUUUCUACAGCUCUGACAGUAUGGAACUAGGAUUGGGACAAUAUUCAUCGUAACUUGUACCAAGUUUUGUAACUUCGAACAUGUUUCAUCACAUGUAACUUUGGAUUCGUAACUUGUAACUUUAGUUUUCUAACUUGUAAUUCUCAAUUCGUACUUGUAUUUCUUGUUUUGUAACAGGAACGUUGUAUUUUGUACAUGUAUUUUUUAUUUUGUAAAAUCAAACUUUUAUUUUGUACAUUACUACUCAUUUUGUAACAUCAAGCAUUCAUUCAGAAACAUGAAACUUUCGUUUUGUAACUAGCAGACUUCCAAAUUUAAAAAAUCAAGGUACAAAUUUGAAAUCAAAACUCUCAAAACACACAUUUCAUUCUACAGGUACAAACCUCAAAUCUACAGUGUUACGAAUCUUUUUGUCUCGAUUCUAGCGUCAGUGGGAGGAACUUGGGUGGAACCAAUGGGAGCACGAGUCUUAGCUACCAAUCACGUUUCUCGAAUUCCUGUCCAAUCAUUGGGAGAGGAGGGCAGGGUUCUGUCAGAGCUGUAGAGAGUUACGACACUCCAAUAGACUCCUAUGGAAUGGGGAAGUCACAUGGUUCACGUAGUUUCGAAUAGUUUCAAACAGGCCCCGCUGCUGCAUUGGCUGCAGUUCAUUUUCGGUGUUUUGGAAGGAUUUUCUCUGGUAAGUUGAUGAAAUAUCAUCAUUUUGUUGCAUUGUGAAGCGUUAGCUAACCGCUUCGUACCAAAAUAAGCCAACUACAAUAUUUUAUGUACCCAGUUUUAGCUAGAUAACCUUUAAUGAGCUAACUGUGUGCAGCUGUGUUUAUGUAAUGGAUGCUGAGUCGCGUCCUUCAGUCUUUGAAACGAGGACAAAAACAAACCCGCAAAAUAGCUAAAAUUUGCUUAUCGAUACAGUAUCAGCUACGCAGUAAAUGAACACGAUGGAAGCCCAUUAGCUGCGGGUUAUAGCUCAGUAAGAACAGGUAUUUUGUUACAGUUGUCUGAAAGUUUAUUUGCUUCAGGCGUGUCGGGGGUUGUGAGCAGGAGGGUUUAGACAAGCUUGACGAGCUGCAGACGGGUUUAUUUCAGUUUGUUUGAUUCUACGUUUUAAAAAUAUUCCCCACAGUUUGAAAUAGGUUAUAAACUUUUUACAUUAUUAGUUUUAUUUGGGAAUAUUUGUACAAUACGUUGCUGGUUGCUGUAUCAACACGAACAUGCACCAGAAAUGGAAGCACAAAUGGAGAUACCAAUAAUAAAGAAAAUGUGAUUGUGAAGACAAGUAAUUAUUUAAUAUUUUUCAGUUAAUAACACCGACUGCAACAAACUGCUGAAGCAUGAGACAAACAGGAUUACGAACUGGCUGAGCGGAGAGCUGACCAGGAACAACGGUGGUGGCAAAACCCAGUUGGGUCUGUGAUGGAGUGAUGCACGCCUGGAGUGAUUGCCAUCUCAUCCACAGGUUCUAACAUCAGGCAGAGGGAUACUCGUGUCCUGAAGAAACCUGUAGCCUGUUGAACCCACUGAAAAACAGAGCUGUACGGCCUUUUUGAUUGUCUGUUUACUCCAUUUAAUGCCUCUUGUGUUUUUCAUGCCUUUUUGACUUUCUGUUUCCUCCCUUAGGUUUUCCAGCUGGGUUCCCUGGUUGCAUAGCCUGUUCCUUUCUCCUCCUGGCCCUGACGCCGGCUCCUCAUGGCUUCCUGGGAUGCCCCCCUCACUUUCCCUCAUCUCAUUUGCCUCACUACUGCUGCUGCUUUCCUCAUUCUCUGAAAUUAUAAUGGCACUGUUAGAAUAAAGAAUCAGUUAAAAAUAAAAUAAUUUCAAAUGUCUAAUAUUUCAAAAGAUUUGUACCACAGUUUACUUGAGUACAAUAUGUGUGGUCACUGGUCAGUGGACCAACAUGCAGUGGUUCUGCUGUACUUCUCACUACGGGGUCCUUCCUCCUCCUUGGUUCAGGGCAAUGAACAAACACAGCAUCAGCCCUGAGUCUCACCUUGCCUAGUCUUAGUAAACUGUCCCUCCUCAAAAUGUGCCUGUAGAGUGGUGUAUUACUGUAGUUUAUUUCCUGCCACAUUAACAGUUUAAUUGCAGCCUUGUGCAGUUGAGAGCAGAACAUGUAGAGCCUUGAUAGGAAACGUUUGAGAGUGCACAUUAAACUCACUGCACACAGCUUUUUGUUAUUGUGAUCUCUGGUCAUGGUGAGGUUGCUCCUGCUGACUUGAGCCAACCAUUUUCUUCCUCUCUCUGCAUCUUUGGGUAAGCCAUAAUUCUGAUUCCUCCCUCAGACCAUUUGCUAUAUGCAGCGCAGCCAACCAUGUAAGAUAAUCAACCUAUAAAGGGAUUAUUAAAAUACUAUUUUUGUACAUAUAGAAAUAUUGAACUAAACCAAAUUAUAGAGAUGUAAAAUUACAUUUCAAAAUUUUAUCCAACCCUAAAAUUAGUAAUUUCAAAUUUUAACCCACGGACACAUUUUGUUUGAAUAAUAAUCAAAAUAAAGUUAUUCAAAAGGGUUUCAUUAGGUCUUGAGUACAUUGCUCAAAUUUAUUGAUUCAGCUUAUUUGUGCAUAUGUAAUGACUAAACAAUGUUGGUAAAAUGCUUUAUUAAAAAUGCUAUUAUACAUGUUGUACAAGUUUGGUGUUCAUUUUUUCACAAAUAACACACUUUAUUGUGAUGAACCAUACAGCUGAAAAUUUAUUUUAAAUUAGUUGCUAUAGAAGCCCGAUAAACUGGGUUAUAGAUGCAUGUACUGUCUUCACAUAAAAGUAUAAAGUAGUGAUUGUAAAAUGUAUUCUACUGAACAUAAUAGAUCAUCAUUCAAAGCAUAAACAGCUACAUAUUUUCUUCAAGGUAAGCUGGAGCAGAAUUCUAGCUUUCAAUAAACACUUUAAAAUGGAUAUUACAACUCAAGUUUAGGGCUUCUUGUAGGACUUAAAGUUAUUAAAUAUGCUUAUAUUAGAGCAGUGUGUUGCAUUACUACAUCAAAUUCAUUGCUAUAAUAUAUUAUAGUAAUGUAUGUGGUCUAAAUGUGUUCUACAGUGUGUUAGGACUGUCGUGGUCCUGUAAUGUAGAACAGUCACGGGUGUUUGUCCUCCUACAAUUGCUCGGAAAAAAAUAAAUAGGCUACUUUGUGGAGGAAUUAGGACAUAAUAUAUAAUAUAAUAUAUAAUAUUAUUCAAUAAUUACCACAAAUCGCCAAGGGAAAUGUGAUUAUAUUAAUUUUUUGUGAUUAGUCCCACCAUACGCCGUUCAAACUGACUUACGGCGCUGUGGAAUGUUUGGGAUUUCCGUGAACCACGUGAACGCG
Non-coding RNA from Nothobranchius furzeri (turquoise killifish), 12307 nucleotides. NCBI's taxonomy places the organism in Eukaryota, Metazoa, Chordata, Actinopteri, Cyprinodontiformes, Nothobranchiidae. The record is from RefSeq and is a predicted model, not a curated record.